RNAcentral lists this small RNA (130 nucleotides) under Manganibacter manganicus. RNAcentral describes it as "Pseudaminobacter manganicus Alphaproteobacterial sRNA ar35". It matches the Rfam family "Alphaproteobacterial sRNA ar35". The record is from Rfam by way of RNAcentral. Lineage: Bacteria; Pseudomonadati; Pseudomonadota; Alphaproteobacteria; Hyphomicrobiales; Phyllobacteriaceae.
AUUUGAUCUGUCGCACCGCCGUUACAUUUCUACGGUAGAUUGACAGCCGUCGGAUGAUGAUUGACCGCGGAUGUACCGGCAAUCGAACCGGCGGACGAGGAAGCGGGGCUUUUGGCUCCGCUUUUUUGUU